GGAGAGAUGGCAGAGUGGCCGAAUGCACCGGUCUUGAAAACCGGAGUGCCAGCAAUGGUACCGGGGGUUCGAAUCCCCCUCUCUCCG
RNAcentral lists this transfer RNA (87 nucleotides) under Planctomycetaceae bacterium. RNAcentral describes it as "tRNA-Ser". It matches the Rfam family "tRNA". From Rfam's summary of the family: Transfer RNA (tRNA) molecules are approximately 80 nucleotides in length. Their secondary structure includes four short double-helical elements and three loops (D, anti-codon, and T loops). RNAcentral also lists the same sequence under 1 other name. Lineage: Bacteria; Pseudomonadati; Planctomycetota; Planctomycetia; Planctomycetales; Planctomycetaceae. The record is from RNAcentral.